This 999-nucleotide ribosomal RNA is filed under the name uncultured bacterium. Its description in RNAcentral is "bacterial SSU rRNA". It matches the Rfam family "Bacterial small subunit ribosomal RNA", at positions 356 to 1376 of the family's 1533-position model. The record is from RNAcentral.
AGGGAAUUUUCGGCAAUGGGGGAAACCCUGAUGCAGCGACGCCGCGUGGAGGAAGAAGGUUUUCGGAUUGUAAACUCCUGUCGUUAGGGACGAUAAUGACGGUACCUAACAAGAAAGCACCGGCUAACUACGUGCCAGCAGCCGCGGUAAAACGUAGGGUGCAAGCGUUGUCCGGAAUUACUGGGUGUAAAGGGAGCGCAGGCGGACCGGCAAGUUGGAAGUGAAAACUAUGGGCUCAACCCAUAAAUUGCUUUCAAAACUGCUGGCCUUGAGUAGUGCAGAGGUAGGUGGAAUUCCCGGUGUAGCGGUGGAAUGCGUAGAUAUCGGGAGGAACACCAGUGGCGAAGGCGACCUACUGGGCACCAACUGACGCUGAGGCUCGAAAGCAUGGGUAGCAAACAGGAUUAGAUACCCUGGUAGUCCAUGCCGUAAACGAUGAUUACUAGGUGUUGGAGGAUUGACCCCUUCAGUGCCGCAGUUAACACAAUAAGUAAUCCACCUGGGGAGUACGACCGCAAGGUUGAAACUCAAAGGAAUUGACGGGGGCCCGCACAAGCGGUGGAUUAUGUGGUUUAAUUCGAAGCAACGCGAAGAACCUUACCAGGGCUUGACAUCCUACUAACGAGAUAGAGAUAUGUUAGGUGCCCUUCGGGGAAAGUAGAGACAGGUGGUGCAUGGUUGUCGUCAGCUCGUGUCGUGAGAUGUUGGGUUAAGUCCCGCAACGAGCGCAACCCCUAUUGUUAGUUGCUACGCAAGAGCACUCUAGCGAGACUGCCGUUGACAAAACGGAGGAAGGUGGGGACGACGUCAAAUCAUCAUGCCCCUUAUGUCCUGGGCUACACACGUAAUACAAUGGCGGUCAACAGAGGGAUGCAAAACCGUGAGGUGGAGCGAACCCCUAAAAGCCGUCCCAGUUCAGAUCGUGGGCUGCAACCCGCCCACGUGAAGUCGGAAUCGCUAGUAAUCGCGGAUCAGCAUGCCGCGGUGAAUACGUUCCCG